UGAGGGGCGAUUGUGUGGUGCGUCGAUGCUGGGCGUGGAGGCGGGGGCAAACACAAGCAGCCAUCGCCUGUCGCCACGCGCUUGUUGGUACCUGUCGUCGCUUGCCUUCUUCCGCCGUCGCCGCCUGUCGGUUCGUGCUGCCGCUCACCUUCUGCCAACGUCGCCUGCUUGUUCUUGUCGGAUGUGUGUGUGAGAGAAAGACAAGAGAUGGGGAUAAGCGGGUCGUUGAGGAAGACACACGGUUCCUUUGAUUUUAAGGUAUAGACGCAUUCGGAUUUAAACAGAAUAUUUGAUCAAUGGAAAACGAUGUAGUUCUGGUUUUGAAGUAUGCAGGAACAAGACCCAGAAACUGGUCCGACCCAUGUCA
Molecule: long non-coding RNA, 367 nt
Filed under: Hordeum vulgare
Lineage: Eukaryota; Viridiplantae; Streptophyta; Magnoliopsida; Poales; Poaceae
Description: long non-coding RNA (HVUL_LNC010853)
Source: RNAcentral